UACAGAGGGUGCAAGCGUUAAUCGGAAUUACUGGGCGUAAAGGGCGCGUAGGUGGGUCCUUAAGUCAUAUGUGAAAGCCCUGGGCUUAACCUGGGAACGGCAUAUGAAACUGGGUACCUAGAGUAGAAUAGAGGGAAGUGGAAUUUCCGGUGUAGCGGUGAAAUGCGUAGAUAUCGGAAGGAACACCCGUGGCGAAGGCGACUUCCUGGAUUCAUACUGACACUGAGGCGCGAGAGCGUGGGGAGCAAACAGG
Molecule: ribosomal RNA, 253 nt
Filed under: uncultured bacterium
Lineage: Bacteria
Description: partial 16S ribosomal RNA
Rfam family: Bacterial small subunit ribosomal RNA
Source: RNAcentral